This is a long non-coding RNA of Rosa rugosa (rugosa rose), 1362 nucleotides long. RefSeq lists it as uncharacterized. The transcript is spliced from 6 exons. The record is from RefSeq and is a predicted model, not a curated record. Lineage: Eukaryota; Viridiplantae; Streptophyta; Magnoliopsida; Rosales; Rosaceae.
UACCCAAAAAGAAAAUAUAAUCCCUAGUUCACUGUCUUCUUAUCUUCAUCGUCCUCUUCCCUCACUCCUCUUCUCGCGAGUAGAACCCUUUUGCUUCAUGGUCCAUCGCUGAGCUACUAUGCGGGUUGAAGAAGGGGGACGUUGUGGAGCUAACCCAGAUCAUGGGAAAGGCUUUGAGAUUGAUCAGAUCGAACCGCUGGAGAAUUAUCCUACGGUUCUAAUUUUCACAACGGGAUCUCACACAAUUUUCAUAUUUCCUCUUUAAUUUUCAGAUUCCCUCUUCACCCAUAUCGAAUUCCCUAUUCGUUUCAUUACAACAUAACAAAAAGAACAAAUGGGUUUUCUCUCCUUCAGCUCUCCUUGACCUAAUUUCUUUAUAUCAUCGCAGAUAGAAGCUUGAGAACUGAACCCCAACUCCAAAAUCAAGACCAGAGAAGCUUUGACUUUCAGGUACUCUCUUCUCUCCCUAAUUUUCAAUUGGUGGGUGUUCAAAUUUAUGGGUUUAUGGUAGGGAUUAGUGUUUAUAUUCGUGGGUACUGUUGAAAUUGCUUCCUCAUGCUCUUGUUCUUGGAAGAGAGAUCUUCGGUCUUGAACGAGCUCGUCAAGUACAAAAGGAAGAGAACAUUUGGCGAAGCUAGCUUCACCCAGUACCUUUAACAGCACCAGAUAAUGUUUUGAGAAGCUGUGGCGGGGGAGUUUGCAAGACUGAGAAGGAGAGCUCUACUGAUGGUGGUCUCAAUGACAUUGUGUUUCUUUUACUUCCUACUGAUUAAGAGUUGGCUGCUGCAUUUGUGGACUAAAAGAGAAGGUGUGGGUAUUUUGAAAAGCUUGUGUCAAAAGCUCGGAAAAAGACUGAAAAGUGUUAGCUUUGGAUCUGCAUUUUGAACCUCGCUAUGGGCUAACAAACAUGCUAGUCUACUUGGGAAUCUGUUCUCUGAUGGGUUGACUUACGGUGGGCAAUUUUGACUUACUGUGUUCAGUGGAGGCCUGCAGACAGAAUCAAGAAGAGUAGUACAUGGUGGAGAGAUGGGUUCAGCCUUGGCAACAACGGGAUCAAAUGUGUAUGAUUGAAGAAUGGUGAAGAGGGUCAUCAUAUUAGAGGUAGAUAUAUCAAAGCACAUCAAUUACAACCGUUAUAUGUGACAGAGUUGCAAAAGCUUGUCCAUCUUUCUCUUGGAUUUUGUUGUCAUGGAAGUACUAAAAUUGUUAGGCUUUUAAAUUAGUUUUUUAAGGGACAUGAAUUUGUAAACAUGAUCAAUAAGUGAUAAUGUAGAUUGUCUUCAGCAAUACAAUGUAUUUAGUUUAAUACAGUUUCUAUUAUAUAGAAGUUUGAUUAGUUAGAGUUCUAUUUUCAGCUAGUUA